Molecule: non-coding RNA, 30 nt
Filed under: Rattus norvegicus (Norway rat)
Lineage: Eukaryota; Metazoa; Chordata; Mammalia; Rodentia; Muridae
Source: RNAcentral
UAUAAUGUCUAAUAUAUCUACCAUGGUCCC